UCACACUGAAAGUGGCCUCAGGUUCUAACGGUGUCCUGAGGUCAGAUGAUUGGGCCGACAGAACUCUGGUACAUGAAGCUCAUCUGCUGCUCCGUCUGUGGCAGCCUGAUGAAACCCAGGUACCGACAGCA
Small nucleolar RNA from Cyprinodon variegatus (sheepshead minnow), 131 nucleotides. NCBI's taxonomy places the organism in Eukaryota, Metazoa, Chordata, Actinopteri, Cyprinodontiformes, Cyprinodontidae. The record is from Ensembl.